GCUUCUCCAGUCAUCCUUUCCUGGUCUUCAAGAACCCUACAGACGUUACUCAAAUGACUUCAAAUAAAGCGAAAAAUCAUGGCUUAUUGGCAGAUAAGGAGCGCAAGGAGCUGAAGGUAGCAUGGAAGUGGUUGACCAAGACAUCUCUAGGUGGAAUGCAUUCUUUAAUGAGUGGAAUUUGGAUGAAGUUCUCAGCCCAUUCAUGGAGUGAUGGGAACUUCUCAGCAUCAAGCAUCUUCAUGCCUCCAACUUCUUCUAAAACACUGAGCCAGUGAGGUAUCCAACCCACUACCAGAUCCAAGAACCCCAUCUUCUCUCCUCCAAAAAACUUCUUCCCUUUUAUCGCCUUCUCCAGAAAUGCAAAUGAUUCUAGUGCUGACUCCAUGGCCUUCUCCUUUUCUUCCCCUUCAGCCUUGAAAGCUUCCCAUGCCCCAAACAUACACUGGUUUCAAGAAGAAAGAUUAAAUUCCAAAAAAAAAAAAAAAAAUCUCAAAAGGAAGUAGAGUUCUACUACCUUUUCAUCAGCAUACUUGGCCCAGAAACGAGCCAUGGCUCUCUCAUAUGGAUCUUCAGGCAGCAGAGGGUUGUCCUUCCAUGUCUCGUCGAUGUACUCAAGGAUGACAAGUGACUCAGGAAUAGGUUUAUCACCGUGGACAAGCACUGGGACCUUCUUGUGGACAGGAUUAUACUUAAGAAGCAUGGGGCUCUUGUUCCUUAGAUCUUCUUUUAUGUACUCAUACUCCACCCCCUUGAGUUUAAGAGCCCACUCAACCCUGACGCAGAAACCGCUUUUGAUAGAUCCAAUCACCUUCACUUCUUCUCCCAUUCUGAUAAAAUCUGCAAAACCAAAACCCAACCAAGACUUCAAGUCUCUGAUUUUGUCACCUUCAUGGUCUUUUGAGUGCUUAUAUAAAGAUGUGGUUUAUUGGGUAGUUCUCUCCUUGUUUGGCAGCCAACUUGGACCAUUGACUCGUCAAAGUUGUUUCCUGGAAUAUACAGAGCCUCUAAAGAAGAGUAUUCGAAAUAUCCACUUUUGCGGCUCCAAAUAACACGGCGUAUAACACACUUGAGUUAUUUAAUAAUUAAAUGUUCGUAUUUAAUAAUCAAAUUAAAUUAAAUCUUAUAUAAAUUUAUAUAAUUAAUAUCUUAUUUAAUCUAAUAAUUAUCUAUUUAUCAAACAAAUUAUGUAAAUUGUUAUAAAUGUUAUAAUUAUAGUAAUGAAUGUCACCACAUUAAUAUUAAUUAAGUAUUAUUUAUGACUUCUAUUAAUACUCAUUAAUGGAAAUCAUUAAUGUUAUUUAUGAGUUUCAUUAAUAUUCAUUAAUGGGGAUAUUAAUAGAAGCUGAUCGCUCAGAUUUUGUCGUUUGUUGGAUCAAAACAAAAUUUAUAACCUAAUUCACUCUUCUAUAGCAAUUUGUACCCGAUCAAAAAUAUGGUUUUAGUACAAACUACUGUAGUAUAGUGGUUUUUAGGUAUCGUCCACAAGGAUGGAUUAUUCUCGGUAAUUAAGGCUUGAACGAGAUGAUAAGAAAUGAUGGUGAUAAAAUGAAAUUUACUUGAAAUUGCAUGAUAAAAUCUCAAGAUAGCAAUGUAUUCAAAUUGAAUUGAAAAUGAAGUGAAAAAGAGAAGAAAAUUAAUAAGAUGUGAGAUUCUCGGAGUUAGGAUUUUCUAGAGAGCAAUUACCAUGGUGAAUAGGUGUUAAGAUCUAAUUUUCAUCAAGUUAGAUUGAAAACCUAAAUUUUCAUCUAAACCGAUUUUUGAUUUAGCUUUAGGUCUAGAUCUAAUUUCUCUUCAAAUUAGGUAAUCUAAUCCAAGAGAUCAAUUUGAAUCAUAAAUUCAAUUUAUCUUAAAUUAUCUUCCAAUGAUUCACACAAUGCAACUAUUCAAUCUCAUCAAAUCUAGCAUUAAGAAUUUGAUGAAUCUACCUAAUUUGCAUUGUAGUAAUCAUCCAAGACAAUUUGAAGAGAAAAAUCCCUAAAUUUCAAUUAAUCAAUCAAUUGAAUCAAAUUACCUUUGCAAUUCAAGCUUAAUUCUCUAAUUCACCAUAGAUCUUGCCUCUAGAUCCUCCCUCCUUCGAGAAAAACGAGAUUUAGCCACUCAUGCUUGGAGAUUUGAUCUCACAAGACAUGUUUGGCUACCGAGAAAAUAAGAGAAACUGAAGGAACGUGAAGAAUUUUAUAGAGAGAAGAAGUAUGAAAAGUCUUACAAUUAGAAAAUGAAUCAAAAGUUUUCAAAUGAGUAAAUCCCGUUUCUAUUUAUAGGCCAAGGUAAAAAGGACACUUGGCAACAUUUUAGAGGUCUUCCGGAUGCUUCUUCAUCAAGGAAUCUGGAGAGAAUGCAUUUUCGCACGAGCCCCUAGCAAUCUCGCAUGAUGGUGCGAAGCGGAGAAUCCAUCAGCUUCAAUUUCGUUCUUAUGGAGCGUUUCGCAUGACUGUGAGAAAAUUUCGCAUGGUCAUGCGAAAUCACUUCUUCACAAUUUCCUUAUGUGCUGCAGCCACACCCUCUCUGUUUCAUUUCGCAUGACUGUGCGAAAAUUUCACAUGGUCAUGCGAAAUCGAAAAUCAUGCUAUUCCGGCUCCUCUUUACAAUUUCUCUCAUUUCUUCAUGUUUAAUCCAUCUCCACCACCUUCAAUUAAGCUCCAAAGCUUGGUCCAAGUGCAUUUCCUCUUCCUCUUCAUCUACAUUAUGUAUCUUCCUCCAUUCCAUUUUCCAUUUGUCACUCCAUGCUUCAAAAAUCACCUUAAAAUAUCUCCAAAACUCAACAAAGAACCAUUAGUAUCUCUUGCAAGGGUAGCAAUGUAUAACUUGGGCAUAUUAGGCAUAAUUACUACUCAAAAGGUGUGAAACUCAUGAAAGUUAGUAUCUAAAAUAUGUGGUUUUCGAGUAGUAAUCAGAAGCCAUUUGAAAAACCUAUAAAAAGGGCUUUCCGUCUCUUGUAAUAGACAUCCCGAGAAAAAGAAAGAAAAGUUCUUCCCCUCAUUCUCUCUCUCUUUCUUUCAUUCUCUCAACUUUCUUCUAUGAUUUCUUCUUCCCUAUUAUAUAUCAAAGUAAGAUAUAUUUCAUUUCUAUUACUUUGAUUUGCAUUGUAUUUGUCCUUAUUUUACAACACGUUAUCAGCACAAAUUGCUCUGAAGGUAAUUCUCGUAUCUUAAACUUGAAGUUAUUUAUAUAGAAUAAAAUUUUACAUAUUUAUAUUAUUGUUGAUUUGUUUUGUUACAUAUUAUUAAAAGUUAUAAACAAAUUAUUUGAUUUUGUUUAUAAUCAAAGUUAAACCAAUGCUAUCAAGUUAUUAUAACUAAUUCUAAUAAUAUUGUUUUGUUAUAUAUAUGAAGUUAUUUGAUAAUGUCGAAUAUCACAAAACUCGAAUUUGUGGCACUUGACAUUUCGGGAAAGAACUAUCUAUCUUGGAUCCUUGAUGCUGAAUUACAUCUUGAUGCAAUGAACCUUGGAGCUACGAUCAAAUAAGGAAAUCAAGCAUCCCUGUAGGAUCGCGCAAAAGCAUUGAUUUUCUUUCGCCAUCACCUCUAUGAAGGUUUAAAAAAUGAGUAUCUUACAGUAAAUGACCCUUUUACUCUAUGGAGUAAUUUGAAGGAAAGAUAUGACCACCAGAAAACUGUGAUUCUCCCAAAAGCUCGAUAUGAUUGGAUGCACCUAAGGUUGCAAGAUUUUAAAACUGUUAGUGAAUACAACUCUACACUUUUCAAAAUCAGCUCUCAAUUAAAGCCGUGUGGAGAAAAAAAUCACAGAGGAAGACAUGUUAGAGAAAACUUUUACUACGUUUGAUGCCUCGAAUGUGCUCCUGCAGCAGCAAUAUCGAGAGCGUAGAUUUACAAAAUAUUCUGAAUUAAUAUCAUGUCUUCUUGUUGCUGAACAAAAUAAUGAGCUUUUGAUGAGAAAUCACCAGUCUCGUCCAACUGGAUCUGAACCAUUCCCUGAAGUGAAUGCAAUAUCGUCCCAAACUCGUGGACGUGGACGAGGAUGAGGACGUGGUCGUGGAAGAAAUUCCCGAUACCAUGGUUCUUAUAGUAAUAAUUCUCAAAAAAUGAAAGUCUCAUUGCACCACCAGAAGUGGAACAAUACUGAGACAAUACAAGAAAAUGGGAAGCGUUUAUAAGAUAAACCUCCUAAGAACCAUGAGAAUAAUUGUUAUAGGUGUGGUAUGAAGGGGCAUUGGUCGCGUACCUGUUGUACACCCAAACAUUUGGUCGACCUUUACCAAGCAUCAAUAAAAGCUAAAGGAAAAGAGAUAGAGAUGAACUUUACCGAUGGUGAUGGAUUGGACCUAACCUACUAUGACAUUGAUUUCUUUGGAGGUCUCAAUGAAAAAAUAGACCAUUUGAUAAACGAUGAGAAAAUUAACAUUGAUUGAUGUUACUUUAUAUAUGAAAUAAUAUAUUAUUAUGUCUUAUAUUUACAUCUGAUUUACUUUGUUAUUUACAUCAUGCCUUGUUUUUUUUUGUUAUAUCUGAAAUCCAUGUGUUAUUUGGUCUCAAGAUGAAUGAGGAUGAUGUAUGUCUCGCAGACUGUGCGACCACACACACAAUUCUUCGAGAUAAAAUAUAUUUCCUCGAAUUGACAUUAAUAAAAGCUAAUGUAAGUACCAUAUUUGGUAUUACAAACUUAGUUGAAGGCUCUGGAAGAGCAAACAUAACGUUGCCAAAUGGAACUAGAUUCCAUAUAAAUGACGCGUUAUAUUCUAGCAAAUCCAGAAGAAAUUUGCUCAGUUUUAAAGAUAUCCGCAGAAAUGGAUAUCAUAUUGAAACUAUGAAUGAAGAUAAUGUAGAAUAUAUUUACAUUACUUCCAUUAUAUCUGGCCAGAAGCUUAUAAUGGAAAAACUCUCAGCUUUCUCCUCUGGGUUGUAUCAUACAACUAUAAAGCCUAUUGAAUCAUAUGUUGUCGUGAACCAGAAGUUCAACGACCCAAAAUUUUUUGUCCUUUGGCAUGAUAGGCUAGGUCACCCAGGGUCUUCAAUGAUGCGUCGAAUAAUUGAACACUCACAUGGGCAUCCACUAAAGAACCAGAAGAUUCUUUCGCCCAAUGAAUACUCAUGUGCUGCCUGCUCACAAGGUAAAUUGAUAAUCAGACCAUCUUUUACUAAAGUCAUAAAUGAGUCACCAAUCUUUUUAGAAAGAAUACAUGGGGACAUAUGUGGGCCUGUCCAUCCACCAUGUGGUCCAUUCCGUUAUUUUAUGAUCUUAAUAGAUGCUUCUACUAGGUGGUCACAUAUUUGUCUCCUUUCUACACGUAACAUAGCCUUUGCUAGACUCCUUGCACAAAUAAUCAGAUUACGAGCACAAUUUCCAGAUUAUCCAAUUGAGACAAUACGUCUUGAUAAUGCUGGCGAAUUUACUUCUCAAACAUUCAUUGACUAUUGCAUGUCAGUAGGGAUAAAUAUUGAGCAUCCUGUUGCUCAUACUCAUACCCAAAAUGGUUUAGCAAAAUCCUUCAUCAAACGUCUCCAAUUAAUAGCUCGACCAUUACUAAUGAAAACCAAAUUACCUACUUUCGCCUGGGGACAUGCUAUUAUGCAUGCUGCAGCUUUAGUCUGUAUUCGACCUACAACUUACCAUGAAUACUCCCAUUCACAACUUGUGCUUGGAAAACAACCAAAUAUCUCUCACUUACGAAUCUUUGGUUGUGCAGUAUAUGUACCAAUUGCACCUACACAACGCACUAAAAUGGGUCCCCAACGAAGACUUGGGGUUUAUGUAGGUUUUGAUUCUCCAUCUAUCAUAAGAUAUCUUGAACAUUUGACAGACGAUGUUUUUACAGCUCGCUUUGCGGAUUAUCAUUUUAAUGAGAGUGUUUUCCCAUCAUUAGGGGGAAAAAAGUCGAUUCCUGAAGAACGACAAGAAAUUAGUUGGAAGACAUCUACUAUGACCCAUCUUGAUCCUCGUACAAAUCAAUGUGAACUAGAAGUUCAAAGGAUCAUUCAUUUGCAAAAUCUUGCAAAUCAAUUACCAGAUGCAUUCAUUGAUAUAAAGAAAGUGACAAAGUCACAUAUCCCGGCUGCAAAUACUCCAUCACGGAUUGAUGUCCCUGUAGGACAGUUAACAAAUGAAUCUAAGAUACGCCUGAAGCGUGGUAAACCUGUCAGCUCAAAGGAUGUAACUCCUCGGAAGAGGAGAACCCAAGAAAAACUUAGCACUCUAGAAGAGACCAUUAAAAUGACUGAUCAGUUUAAAAUUGAUAAAUCUAUAGCCCUAGAAGAGGCACAAAUAAUGCAGAAAGCCCCUGAAGAGGCACAUAUUGAACAAGAAACCCCCGAAGAGGCACAUAUUGAACAAGAAACCCCUAAAGAGGCACAGGUACCUGAAAAUUGUGAGAUCUCAGUAAGUUAUGUACAUACGGGAGAAAAAUGAGAUUGAAAUAAUAUUAUUAUUAACAAUAUUUUUGCUUUCCAAGUGGCCUCUGAAGUCAUAAGAAAUGAUGAAGAUCCCGAACCACGAAAUGUGGAAGAAUGUCGACAUAGAAAUGAUUGGCCAAAAUGGAAAGAAGCUAUACAGGCAGAGUUAACAAAACGAGAAGUUUUUGGACUUGUAGUCCAAACACUUGAAGAUGUAAAGCCUGUUGGGUACAAAUGGGUAUUUGUACGAAAACGCAAUGAAAAUAAUGAGAUCAUAAGAUAUAAAACGCGAUUAGUAGCACAAGGUUUCUUGCAGAGACCUGGUAUUGAUUAUGAGGAAACAUAUUCUCCCGUCAUGGACGCAAUCACAUUUCGUUUCUUAAUUAGUUUGACAGUCUCAGAAGGACUGGAUAUGCGUCUCAUGGAUAUUAUUACAACAUAUUUAUACGGAUCCAUGGAUAAUGAUAUAUACAUGAAAAUCACUAAAGGAUUUAAAUUGUCUGAAGCAAAUAAUACAACGCCUUAUAGCAUGUACUCAAUCAAGUUACAACGAUCAUUGUAUGGAUUAAAACAAUCUGGACGCAUGUGGUACAAUCGUCUUAGCGAAUACUUGCUAAAAGAAGGGUAUAUGAAUAACCCUAUAUGCCCAUGCAUCUUCAUUAAGAAAUCAGAAACCGGAUUUGCAAUUAUUGCAGUGUAUGUUGAUGACUUCAAUCUUGUUGGAACUCCUGAAAAGCUCACAAGAACAACAAAUUACUUGAAAAAGGAAUUUGAGAUGAAAGAUCUUGGAAAAACAAAAUUUUGUCUCGGCUCGCAGAUAGAGCAUUUUCCAAAUGGAGUUUUAGUACAUCAAUCAACAUACAUUAAGAAAGUUUUGAAGCGUUUUUAUAUGGAUAAAACACAUCCUUUAAGUUCUCCAGUGGUUGUCCGAUCACUUGAUGUGAAAAAGGAUUUAUUUCGUCCUUGCGAAAAGGAUGAAGAGUUACUUGGUCCUGAAGUACCAUAUCUUAGUGUUAUUGGUGCACUUAUGUAUCUUGCCAAUUGUACAUGUCCAUACAUCGCUUUUUCUGUUAAUUUAUUGGCAAGAUAUAGUUCCACUCCAACUCGAAGACAUUGGAAUGGUGUCAAACAUAUAUUGCGUUAUCUUCGUGGAACUACUGAUAUGGGUUUAUUUUACUCAAGGGAAUUAAAGCAACAAUUGCUUGGAUAUGCAGAUGCAGGAUAUCUUUCAGAUCCACAUAAAGGCAGGUCACAAACAGGGUAUGUGUUUAAUUACAAUGGUACUGCUAUUUCAUGGGAAUCUGUCAAACAAAUAAUGGUGACCACAUCAUCAAAUCAUUUAGAAAUACUGGCAAUUCAUGAAGCAAGUCGUGAAUGUAUAUGGUUAAGAUUUAUGAUCCAGCAUAUUCGGGAAUCAUGUGGACUCUCCUUUAUCAAAGGUAACCCGAUAAUAUUAUUUGAAGAUAAUACUGCAUGCAUUGCACAAAUAACAGGGGGUUAUAUUAAAAGAGAUAGAAAUAAACACAUUUCACCAAAAUUAUUUUAUACACAUGAACUCCAGAAGAGUGGUGAAAUUGAUGUGCAACAAAUACACUCAAGUAAUAAUCUAGCAGAUUUAUUCACAAAAUCAUUGCCAACCUCAACAUUCAAGAAGUUAAUACACAGAAUUGGAAUGCGUUAACUCAAGGAUAUCGACAUGAGGGGGAGUAUGUUGGCGUGAGUUGUAUAGUAAAAGGAAAUUAGAGUAAUUAUAGAAAAUGAGAUUUCUUUCCUUCACAGGUUAGCUUAAUUAUAGGAGCAAAAUCUGUAUAGCUUAGAAUAGAAAAUAUAUUCUGAUAUAUACUCGUAGGGUUGUGGUAAUAGAAUAAGAAAAAUAUUGAAUAGAAAAAGAAGAACUUUUUGACAUGGUAUCAGAGCCUAACCCUGGUACCCACCUAUCUUAAACAUUGCAUCUCUUACCUCGCCCACCAUGUCGUCCGAUGCAGAACCCCAGCUUGCUGUGUCUCAAUCCGAUUCCCUCUUCUCUGAAAUCACGGCUAAGAUGAUUGAAGCUCUUACCAAAGUCCAACCACCAACUCUGACCACCGAACCCUCUACUGCUCUGAUUGGCAUCAAAUUGGAUGGAACCAACUAUGCUCUCUGGUCCCAAGUUGUCGAGAUGUAUAUCUCUGGCAAAGACAAGUUGGGAUAUAUCAAUGGUGAUAUACCACAACCACCUUCGACGGAUCCAACAUUUCGAAAAUGGCGCACUGACAACGCCAUUGUCAAAGGUUGGUUGAUCAACUCCAUGGAUCCCUCUUUGAUAGGGAAUUUCAUUCGGUUUCCUACAGCUAAGUUGGUGUGGGAUUCCAUUGCUACCACUUACUUUGAUGGUAGUGACUCGUCUCAGGUCUAUGAUCUUCGACGUCGUGUGACGCAGCUUAAACAGACUGGAGGCUCCCUUGAGAAAUACUACAAUGACCUCCAAGGGUUGUGGCAUGAGAUUGACUUCCGCCGCCCUAAUCCUAUGGAGUGUGCAGUUGAUAUUCACAACUAUAAUCUUCUUCUUCAAGAAGACAGAGUGUAUGUUUUCUUGGAUGGCCUGGAUGAUCGACUAGAUAAGAUUCGGGGCGACGUGUUGCAGCUUCGUCCAUUCCCUACUGUGGAGCAAGCGUAUGCCCAUGUCCGCCGCGAAGCUCUCCGUCAAUCUGUUAUGAUCACUGGCAAUGCAGAUGCGGUUUAUGGUGCUGUUCUCGCAACCAAAGGACUCAAACUUGGUUCCUCUAUCCAACCUCCUACUAUGCACAAUGGCAUGCCUAAGUCUCGUACAUCUUCAGAGGGCUUGAAGUGCUCUCAUUGUGGCAAUUCGAAGCACACUCGUGACACCUGUUUUAAACUGCAUGGGUAUCCAGAUUGGUGGAAUGAUCUUCGGGCUAAGAAGGGUCGUGACGCGGGCACUAAGGAUGAAGACUCUGCUACAGCAGUUAUGGCUACUGCCGAACCUUAACUCUCAUUCAUACCACAGAUGACAAUGCCGAACUCAGGUAACUGUGGUUAUGCUUGUUAUACUUCGACUAAUGAUGGUUACCGUGGUGCAUGGCUAUUGGAUUCUGGCGCAACUGACCAUAUGACGUUUACUGCUAUGGAUUUCACCAUGACUUCCCUACCACGACGUACCAAUAUCGCCAAUGCUAAUGGUGUUAUCUCCUCUGUCACUGGCGCGGGCACUGUGACCUUAUCCCCUAAGUUGCAGCUGCAUAAUACUUUGUUUGUUCCAUCCUUAUCUCAUAAGCUUCUCUCCGUGAGCCAAGUGACCUCUGAUCUGAACUGCAUUGUGCUAAUAUAUCCUACUUUCUGUCUUCUCUAGGACAUUCUAACGAAGGAGAUUAUUGGGCGUGGUACUAAGAGGGGGGGACUCUACUAUAUGGAAGACCUGAGUGUGGGCCGAACACAUCACACGCAACAUACUCUUGAUGUCAAAGAAAAUGAACUUUGGCUUUGGCACCGUCGGUUAGGACAUUCGUCCUUCACCUAUAUGAAACAUUUGUUUCCGGAUUUGUUUUCUCAGUUGAAAAAUUUUGAUUUUCAAUGUGAAACUUGCAUAUUGGCCAAAAGUCAUAGGGCUUCUUUUCCAUUACAUUUGAAUAAAAAGGAUACUCCAUUUGCUUUGAUCCACUCGGAUGUGUGGGGACUUUCCCCAAUUACUACUGUCAACGACUUCAAAUGGUUUAUGUUGUUUGUUGAUGAUUGUACCCGCAUGACUUGGCUUUAUUUGCUCAAACAUAAAGAUGAAGUAUUAGGAGUUUUUAAAUCAUUUCAUGCUAUGGUGCAAACACAAUUUUCUGCUAAGGUUCAGGUUCUUCGAUCGGAUAAUGGUGGUGAAUAUGUCAAUCACCAAUUUCGUGAAUACUUUCAACAACAUGGUAUUAUUCAUGAGACUUCAUGCCCCCAAACGCCUCAACAAAAUGGCAUUGUUGAGAGAAAAAACAGACAUGUUCUUGAAACCGCUCGUGCUCUCUUAGUUGGUGCCCAUGCUCCUACUCGAUUUUGGGCUGACGCCGUUACCACUGCAGUUCAUUUGCUCAAUUGACUGCCUUCUAAGGUGUUGGACUUCCAAACUCCCUUACAAGCCCUCUCGGGCUAUACAGCUGUGCCUGCAAUCUUGAUGCUUCCUCCACGUGUAUUUGGGUGCGUAGCAUAUGUCCAUCUCCAUAAAAACCAGCAGACUAAGUUAGACCCCUGUGCACGUUGCUGCUUAUUUUUGGGCUAUGCUUUUCACCAAAAAGGAUAUAGAUGCUAUGAUCUCACUUCUGGUCGCAUGUAUAUUACUAUGGAUGUCACCUUCGUGGAAAUCGAAACAUUUUUUCCACCCAAUUCUCCUCUUCAGGGUGAGACUAGACAGGAAGAGCAGAAUUGGACAAAAUUAAAUUGGCCGAGCGUAUCUGAAAUACAUGUGGAACCGAGGCAACCAGAACACAUUUCUCUAGCUACUGAACAUCAUGAAGAUGAUCACGAAGCACAUGUUACUUCCCCCUCUACAGUACCCGAAAACCCAACUCCUGAGAAUGAUCCUGAGGUAAGCUCUUUUAACACAAAUAUCUUGGCACCUCCUAUUGGUUAUGUGUUACCUAACAGGCACAAUCGUGGCAAGCCUCCAAGCCGCUACUCACCAGACAUUGAAGGAAGAAGAUCAAGAUAUCCUAUCGCCAAUUAUGUGUCCACAAAGAAGUUGAAUGAACCUCUCAAGACAUUUGUGCAUAACAUUUCCGGGUGUCACGUUCCAACAAGGGUGGAGGAAGCCUUGGGAGACCCGAAGUGGACUCAGGCAAUCAAAGAUGAAAUGGAGGCACUAAUGAAGAACAAGACAUGGAAUCUAGUGCCAUUACCGGAAGGAAAAAAAACAGUGGGGUGCAAGUGGGUGUUUUCCAUUAAACACAAAGCUGACGGAUCUAUAGAAAGAUACAAGGCAAGACUCGUGGCAAAAGGGUAUACUCAAACAUAUGGUAUAGACUAUCAAGAUACUUUCUCACCAGUAGCUAAAUUAAAUACUGUUAGAGUGUUGAUAUCUCUUGCAGCAAAUUUAAAUUGGCCACUGCAUCAGUUUGAUGUGAAAAAUGCUUUCCUUCAUGGCGGGCUUGAAGAAGAAGUUUAUAUGGACAUCCCUCCAGGCUACUUAGUGACCACGGGAACUAAUGAGGUGUGUAAGUUGCAACGAGCCUUGUAUGGGUUAAAACAAUCGCCAUGAGCAUGGUUCGGGCGAUUCAGCCUGGCAAUGAAGAAAUAUGGUUUCCAACAGAGCAAUGCAGACCACACUUUGUUUCUAAAAAAACAGCAAGGAAAAGUCACAGCUCUUAUUGUCUAUGUCGAUGAUAUGGUCAUUACAGGAGAUGAUAUUGAAGAAAUCUCAUGGCUCUAAGGGCAAUUGGCUAGUGAAUUCGAAAUGAAGAAUCUAGGUGGGCUCAAGUAUUUCCUUGGGAUAGAGGUUGCCAGAUCAACCCAAGGCAUAUUUUUAUCCCAAAGAAAAUAUGUUCUAGAUUUAUUAUCUGAAGUUGGAUUGUUGGAGUGCAAACUAGUGGAUACCUCAAUUGUCCAAAAUCAUAAACUUGGGAUAUAUCCAAAUUAGAAACCAACUGGCAAAGGAAGAUAUCAACAGUUAGUUGGCAAACUCAUUUAUCUCUCUCAUACUCGUCCAGAUAUUGCGUAUGCUGUGAGUGUAGUAAGUCAAUUUAUGCAUUGUCCAAGUGAAGAACACAUGGAGGCUGUAAUUCGGAUACUAAGGUACUUGAAGUCUUCUCCAGGAAAAGGGCUCAUGUUUUCUAAGAAUGAUCAUGUGAGAGUUGAUGGCUAUACAGACGCAGAUUGGGCUGGGAACAUCUCUGAUAGGAAGUCGACAUCAGGGUAUUUCACAUUUGUAGGUGGAAACCUUGUGACAUGGAGAAGUAAGAAACAAAAGGUGGUGGCACUCUCUAGUGCAGAGGUAGAAUUUCGUGGGAUGGCCAAGGGUUUGUGUGAGCUUCUUUGGCUGAAAAGACUACUAACCGAGAUCGGUUUUGCUCCCAAGUCUGAAAUGAAUCUCUUUUGUGACAAUAAAGCAACUAUAGACAUUUCACACAAUCCGGUUCAACACGAUCGAACAAAGCAUGUAGAGGUUGAUCGACACUUCAUCAAAUAUAACCUAGAGACUAAUACAAUCCGGUUUCCAUUUGUCAAAUCUGAGGACCAGCUUGCAGAUAUACUCACCAAAGCCGUGUCAAGCAAAGAUUUCCACAACUCACUGAUCAAGUUGUGCAUGAAGGAUCCGUAUGCAUCAACUUGAGGGGGAGUGUUGGCAUGAGUUGUAUAGUAAAAGGAAAUUAGAGUAAUUAUAGAAAAUGAGAUUUCUUUCCUUCACAGGUUAGCUUAAUUAUAGGAGCAAAAUCUGUAUAGCUUAGAAUAGAAAAUAUAUUUUGAUAUAUACUCGUAGGGUUGUGGUAACAGAAUAAGAAAAAUAUUGAAUAGAAAAAGAAGAACUUUUUGAUAGAGUAUGCUUGUAAAAGGGUGUUAGUGUACUGUACUCUUUUUUCCUUCGUCUAGGUUUUGUCCUACUGGGUUUUACUAGCAAGGUUUUUAACAAGACAGUCCUAAUAUACCAAGAAAAGAAUAUUGUACUCUUUUUCCUUCGCUAGGUUUUUCCUACAGGGUUUUUUACUAGCAAGGUUUUAAUGAGACAUAUUCUUUCAAUGUGGUGGACAUCCAAGGGGGAGUGUUAUAAUUGUAGUAAUGAAUGUCACCACAUUAAUGUUAAUUAAGUAUUAUUUAUGAUUUUCAUUAAUACUCAUUAAUGGAAACCAUUAAUGUUAUUUAUGAGUUUCAUUAAUAUUCAUUAAUGGGGAUAUUAAUGGAAGCCAUUUGAAAAACCUAUAAAAGGGCUUCCCGUCUCCUGUAAUAGACAUCCCGAGAAAAAGAAAGAAAAGUUCUUCUCCUCAUUCUCUCUCUCUUUCUUUCAUUCUCACAACUCUCUUAUCUGAUUUCUUCUUCCCUAUUAGAUAUUAAAGUAAGAUAUAUUUCAUUUUUACUACUUUGAUUUGUAUUGUAUUUGUCCUUAUUUUACAAUAAUAAAUUUAAUUUAAAUCCAAUCUCAUGAAAAAUGUGAUGGGUUCAAAUCAUAUCGAUGAAACUUAUUAAAUUUUGUCAUUCUUACUUUAAAUUCAAUCACCAACUUCUUUGGUAUUAGCAAAUAUAACACAUUUACUUCUCACCAUCUUUAGCAUACCUUUUCCAAGUUUUUUUUGUGUUUCUAAACAUCUUUCUUUUUUUUUUGUUUCCUUUUUUUGCUUUGGUUAUUCAGGUUGAAUGACACCCACUUCAAAAAUCUAUAAAGUGAAGGGUCCGUGUGCGACCAUACGACACUAUAAUAAAUGGACAUCAUGAAAUGAAAAGGAUGGCCCCUUGACAUUAUGGAGCCCAAUAAUCUAUUUUUGGUGAACCACUUGCAUAAAAUAAAAACAAUAAUCCAUUUUUAAAAGAAGAGUUUGAAGGUGUCAAUAUUAGAAAAAGAAAUGGUUUUAAUUGAGAAACACACGAGAUUUAUGGAGAUUCACUCUCAAAAUAUUCUAUUUUGCCCCUGAAGCAAACAGACUAGUAUAGAAGCCUGUGGCAGUGAAGCAGAAUGUUAGUAGUCUAUGAUGCUGCUAUCAGUGUUUAUUUAUUUUCCCAGAGGCUGUGAUUGUUUUGGAUUUUAUUCCUUAAAAGACAGAUACAGAUAAACACCUACCCUCCAUUUAUUCCUGUAAUAUAAACUUAGGUCAAACUCAGAACCGGUAGAAUCACUGAUCAUUUUCCAGUAGUAAGUCUGCUGUUUUGCCCUCCCUGAAAGUAGUUUAUCAGCCCUUCCUUUGUUGGUAUUCUUUCACUGAUGAUUGGAAUGUUGAUAAAUUUCUGAGCCCAUUCAUAAAGGGAUGGAAACUUCUCUUCAUCCAGCAGCUUCAUGCCUCCAUGUUCUUCCAAGAAUUCGAUCCAGUUAGGCAGUGAACCCACCACCAGAUCCAGCAAGCCCAUCGUCUCUCCCCCAAAAAAUUUCUUCCCUUCAAUCUGCUUUUCUAGAAAACUCAGCGAUUCUUGUGCAGACUCUAUAGCUUUCUCUCGUUCAUGUCCUUUGGCACAGCAAGCAGCCCAGGCACCGAGCACACACUGCAUUCAAAAACUCAAAUAAGUACCUAUUUCUGAUGUUUGCCUGCAUGGAAAAUGGAAAGAGAAAAACAAUGUUCAUUUACCUUCUCAUCAGUGAAUCUUGCCCAGAAUCGGGUUUUGGCUCUUUCAGAAGGAUCCUCGGGCAAUAGAGGGUAGCCUUUCCAUGCCUCAUCUAUGUACUCAAGGAUGACAAGGGACUCGGCAAUUGGUCUACCAUCUUGCACAAGCACCGGGACCUUCUUGUGAACAGGGUUAGACUGGAGAAGCAUGGGGCUCUUGUUCCUCAAGUCUUCUUCCAGGUACUCAUAUGCUACACCCUUGAGCUUCAGUGCCCAUUCUACCCUGCAACAGAAAAAGCUUAGAGAAGCUCCAAGCACUUUCACUUCUCCCAUUGUGAAGUCUAUAAAGUUGAAAUCAAACUUAUGUUUUUUCUCUAUUGAAAGCCUUGGAUUGUGAAUUUAUAGACUUUGUGAACUUCAUUACUUGGCCACCAAGUUCCUCUGUAAGUUGAGUUUUGCAGUUGAAAGUUCAGCUUUUCCACUUCGUAUUUUCAAAUUUGUAAUUUUGUUGCUUGGGUCCUUAUCGUCAUGAUCAAGUUUAAGCUGCUCAAAUAUUAAAUUUGAUUUAAGUACAUGUUUGGAGUUUUAUAAUUCAGAGUGUGAGUUUUGUUUUCAACCUUUUCAUUGCAGUCAGCUGUCCAAUUGAACUAUUUUGUUGUUAGUACAACAAAUUUUUUGGUAAAUGAGUUGAAAUCAUGAAAACUCAUUGCCCAGGAUGGAUAAUAUUUUUUGUUUGGCUGAGUGGUUAUAAAUGAUAUCAUAGUCGGUCCAAUCCCAUGAAAAUAUAACAGUAGGUAAAAAAUGUCUAAUGAAAAAGUUCACAUUGAGAAAGGCCAGGUUUUGGAUCAACUUAAAAACCAUUACCUUAUGCCAGGAAGAAAUCUUUAUAAGAAACAAAAAUUUAUUAAACUUGUGACAGAAUAAGCAGGAUAUGAGGAAUAUCCUUCAAACCAGCAAAGCAGAGUCUACAAAAGAAAAAAGGGACAUAAAACCAAUCCUUUUCAGGGCUUCUCCAGUCAUCCUUUCCUGGUCUUCAAGAACCCUACAGACGUUACUCAAAUGACUUCAAAUAAAGCGAAAAAUCAUGGCUUAUUGGCAGAUAAGGAGCGCACGUAGCUGAGGCUAGCAUGGAAGUGGUUGACCAAGUCAUCUCUAGGUGGAAUGCAUUCUUUAAUGAGUGGAAUUUGGAUGAAGUUCUCAGCCCAUUCAUGGAGUGAUGGGAACCUCUCAGCAUCAAGCAUCUUCAUGCCUCCAACUUCUUCUAAAACACUGAGCCAGUGAGGUAUCCAACCCACUACCAGAUCCAAGAACCCCAUCUUCUCUCCUCCAAAAAACUUCUUCCCUUUUAUCGCCUUCUCCAGAAAUGCAAAUGAUUCUAGUGCUGACUCCAUAGCCUUCUCCUUUUCUUCCCCUUCAGCCUUGAAAGCUUCC
Molecule: long non-coding RNA, 15985 nt
Filed under: Vitis vinifera (wine grape)
Lineage: Eukaryota; Viridiplantae; Streptophyta; Magnoliopsida; Vitales; Vitaceae
Description: long non-coding RNA (VVIN_LNC005642)
Source: RNAcentral